CAGUCGCCGCGGGAAUACGUAGGUGGCAAGCGUUGUCCGGAUUUAUUGGGCGUAAAGCGAGCGCAGGCGGUUUCUUAAGUCUGAUGUGAAAGCCCCCGGCUCAACCGGGGAGGGUCAUUGGAAACUGGGAAACUUGAGUGCAGAAGAGGAGAGUGGAAUUCCAUGUGUAGCGGUGAAAUGCGUAGAUAUAUGGAGGAACACCAGUGGCGAAGGCGGCUCUCUGGUCUGUAACUGACGCUGAGGCUCGAAAGCGUGGGGAGCAAACAGGAUUAGAUACCCGAGUAGUCCCUGUCUCUUAUAC
Molecule: ribosomal RNA, 301 nt
Filed under: uncultured bacterium
Lineage: Bacteria
Description: partial 16S ribosomal RNA
Rfam family: Bacterial small subunit ribosomal RNA
Source: RNAcentral